UUUAUAGCUAUAAAGUAAUAAAAUUUUAAAGUCCAUUUUUUAAAAUUAUUUUGUUUUCAUCCAAUCGACCGUUACAUAUACAAAAUUGUGUUGAGUUCUCUUCUUCACCAUCAUUCUCACAAGCACUCUUCUCAAAGCGAUGAAGAUGAGUCUCUCUCUCUGCAAAACCUUCAGUUUCUCAUAAAUGCAGAAAAUGGCAAAGAUGACGAUGGCGAAAAUAAAAUUGCUGAGAGUCACGAGGGAGGUAGUUUUGGGGCAAAUGAGGAGAUACAUUGGUUCGGAUGUACUGUUCGUAUUCAGCAACGCAGAUCCAUGUAUAUGCAGAGGAUCAAGAUUCAUGGGAUAAAUAAGACACUUGGAUCAGUUCAUUAUAAAAGAAUGAAGAACAAAAAAAAAGAUGGAGGAACAAGUCGGAGAACAACAGGGUUCUACUAUCGCUUCAAUUCCCCAAAAGAGCUUUUCUGAAGUAGUUACUGGCAUUGAUAACUCAACAAUUGUGCAGUCGCAGCCUCCAACUUCAGCUUCAUCUAGCAGACUCCCUCCAAGGCAACAACUAAGGCUUCGUGAUGUGAAGACUCUAGCCAGACUCAUGGGUCGUCUUACUGAAGAGGAGAAAAGAGUCAUUUUGCUCCUUUAUAAUAAUAAUAAUAAUAAUUAAUGUAAAAGGUUUAUUAUUUAAUUUCAGCAUGUACUUGUUGCUCGAUCUUUUAAUUCCUUCAUCACUUAGAUGAAUUAUGUUUUGUUUUUCCAUUUAUGUAUGAUCUUUAUAUUAAUAUAUGUUUUACAGUUGA
Solanum lycopersicum (tomato) is the source of this 791-nucleotide non-coding RNA. The record is from RefSeq and is a predicted model, not a curated record. NCBI's taxonomy places the organism in Eukaryota, Viridiplantae, Streptophyta, Magnoliopsida, Solanales, Solanaceae.